This 943-nucleotide ribosomal RNA is filed under the name uncultured bacterium. RNAcentral describes it as "bacterial SSU rRNA". It matches the Rfam family "Bacterial small subunit ribosomal RNA", at positions 51 to 990 of the family's 1533-position model. The record is from RNAcentral.
ACACAUGCAGUCGAGGGGUAACAUAGAAAAGCUUGCUUUUUUGAUGACGACCGGCGCACGGGUGCGUAACGCGUAUACAAUCUGCCUUAUACUGGGGUAUAGCCUUUAGAAAUGAAGAUUAAUCCCCCAUAGUCUCUAGCUAUGGCAUCAUAGCUAGAGUAAAGGUUACGGUAUAAGAUGAGUAUGCGUUCUAUUAGUUUGUUGGUGAGGUAACGGCUCACCAAGACUACGAUAGAUAGGGGCCCUGAGAGGGGGAUCCCCCACACUGGUACUGAGACACGGACCAGACUCCUACGGGAGGCAGCAGUGAGGAAUAUUGGACAAUGGAGGCAACUCUGAUCCAGCCAUGCCGCGUGCAGGAAGACUGCCCUAUGGGUUGUAAACUGCUUUUAUAUAGGAAGAAACCUUGGUACGUGUACCAAGCUGACGGUACUAUAAGAAUAAGGAUCGGCUAACUCCGUGCCAGCAGCCGCGGUAAUACGGAGGAUCCAAGCGUUAUCCGGAAUCAUUGGGUUUAAAGGGUCCGUAGGUGGAUAAUUAAGUCAGAGGUGAAAUCUUGCAGCUCAACUGUAAAAUUGCCUUUGAUACUGGUUAUCUUGAGUUAUUAUGAAGUAGUUAGAAUAUGUAGUGUAGCGGUGAAAUGCAUAGAUAUUACAUAGAAUACCAAUUGCGAAGGCAGAUUACUAAUAAUCAACUGACACUGAUGGACGAAAGCGUGGGUAGCGAACAGGAUUAGAUACCCUGGUAGUCCACGCCGUAAACGAUGGUUACUAGCUGUUUGGACCUUGUGUCUGAGUGGCUAAGCGAAAGUGAUAAGUAACCCACCUGGGGAGUACGUUCGCAAGAAUGAAACUCAAAGGAAUUGACGGGGGCCCGCACAAGCGGUGGAGCAUGUGGUUUAAUUCGAUGAUACGCGAGGAACCUUACCAGGGCUUAAAUGUAA